GACGAACGCUGGCGGCGUACCUAAUACAUGCAAGUAGAACGCUGAAGAGAGGAGCUUGCUCUUCUUGGAUGAGUUGCGAACGGGUGAGUAACGCGUAGGUAACCUGCCUUGUAGCGGGGGAUAACUAUUGGAAACGAUAGCUAAUACCGCAUAACAAUGGAUGACACAUGUCAUUUAUUUGAAAGGGGCAAUUGCUCCACUACAAGAUGGACCUGCGUUGUAUUAGCUAGUAGGUGAGGUAAUGGCUCACCUAGGCGACGAUACAUAGCCGACCUGAGAGGGUGAUCGGCCACACUGGGACUGAGACACGGCCCAGACUCCUACGGGAGGCAGCAGUAGGGAAUCUUCGGCAAUGGGGGCAACCCUGACCGAGCAACGCCGCGUGAGUGAAGAAGGUUUUCGGAUCGUAAAGCUCUGUUGUAAGUCAAGAACGGGUGUGAGAGUGGAAAGUUCACACUGUGACGGUAGCUUACCAGAAAGGGACGGCUAACUACGUGCCAGCAGCCGCGGUAAUACGUAGGUCCCGAGCGUUGUCCGGAUUUAUUGGGCGUAAAGCGAGCGCAGGCGGUUUGAUAAGUCUGAAGUUAAAGGCUGUGGCUCAACCAUAGUUCGCUUUGGAAACUGUCAAACUUGAGUGCAGAAGGGGAGAGUGGAAUUCCAUGUGUAGCGGUGAAAUGCGUAGAUAUAUGGAGGAACACCGGUGGCGAAAGCGGCUCUCUGGUCUGUAACUGACGCUGAGGCUCGAAAGCGUGGGGAGCGAACAGGAUUAGAUACCCUGGUAGUCCACGCCGUAAACGAUGAGUGCUAGGUGUUGGAUCCUUCCCGGGAUUCAGUGCCGCAGCUAACGCAUUAAGCACUCCGCCUGGGGAGUACGACCGCAAGGUUGAAACUCAAAGGAAUUGACGGGGGCCCGCACAAGCGGUGGAGCAUGUGGUUUAAUUCGAAGCAACGCGAAGAACCUUACCAGGUCUUGACAUCCCGAUGCUAUUUCUAGAGAUAGAAAGUUACUUCGGUACAUCGGUGACAGGUGGUGCAUGGUUGUCGUCAGCUCGUGUCGUGAGAUGUUGGGUUAAGUCCCGCAACGAGCGCAACCCCUAUUGUUAGUUGCCAUCAUUCAGUUGGGCACUCUAGCGAGACUGCCGGUAAUAAACCGGAGGAAGGUGGGGAUGACGUCAAAUCAUCAUGCCCCUUAUGACCUGGGCUACACACGUGCUACAAUGGUUGGUACAACGAGUUGCGAGUCGGUGACGGCGAGCUAAUCUCUUAAAGCCAAUCUCAGUUCGGAUUGUAGGCUGCAACUCGCCUACAUGAAGUCGGAAUCGCUAGUAAUCGCGGAUCAGCACGCCGCGGUGAAUACGUUCCCGGGCCU
Molecule: ribosomal RNA, 1369 nt
Filed under: uncultured bacterium
Lineage: Bacteria
Description: bacterial SSU rRNA
Rfam family: Bacterial small subunit ribosomal RNA
Source: RNAcentral